This 253-nucleotide ribosomal RNA is filed under the name uncultured bacterium. RNAcentral describes it as "partial 16S ribosomal RNA". It matches the Rfam family "Bacterial small subunit ribosomal RNA", at positions 524 to 776 of the family's 1533-position model. The record is from RNAcentral.
UACGUAGGGUGCGAGCGUUAAUCGGAAUUACUGGGCGUAAAGCGUGCGCAGGUGGGUUUGCAAGUUCGAUGUGAAAGCCCCGGGCUUAACCCGGGAAUGGCAUUGGAUACUGCAGAUCUGGAGGAUCGGAGGGGGGACUGGAAUUCUUGGUGUAGCAGUGAAAUGCGUAGAUAUCAAGAGGAACACCAGUGGCGAAGGCGAGUCCCUGGACGAUACCUGACGCUGAGGAGCGAAAGUGUGGGGAGCGAACAGG